This 69-nucleotide transfer RNA is filed under the name Peromyscus eremicus (cactus mouse). Its description in RNAcentral is "tRNA-Glu". It matches the Rfam family "tRNA". From Rfam's summary of the family: Transfer RNA (tRNA) molecules are approximately 80 nucleotides in length. Their secondary structure includes four short double-helical elements and three loops (D, anti-codon, and T loops). RNAcentral also lists the same sequence under 1 other name. Lineage: Eukaryota; Metazoa; Chordata; Mammalia; Rodentia; Cricetidae. The record is from RNAcentral.
GUUUCUAUAGUUGAAUAACAACGAUGAUUUUUCAUGUCAUUGGUCAUAGUUAGAGUCUAUGUAGAAAUU